Molecule: long non-coding RNA, 571 nt
Organism: Strigops habroptila (Kakapo)
Lineage: Eukaryota; Metazoa; Chordata; Aves; Psittaciformes; Psittacidae
Exons: 3
Source: RefSeq, a predicted model, not a curated record
UCACACACCCCCCCCCAACCGGAGCCGUGAGGUGCGGGUCCAGCUGCGGGCGGUGCCGGAGGAUCCCGUCGCCGGCGGUCACAGUGGGUCAUGGCAGGGCGGACACAGCCGCCUGGUUAGCACUGCAACUGGAAAUGCACUCGUGGAAAUCCCCAUGGACCAAAGUGCUCCUCUCUCUGGCAAACACAUGGGUGCAGCCAAAGCAAGUCGGAGGGACAGCAUUUCUUUACCAAUUCUCUACAAAGAGAAGAAGGACCAUACAGUUCCGUGGAGGUCCUCUGCGAAGCGGUUAGGCAUCAUCUGGAAGCAUCUACAGAUGAAGGUGGAUCAAACAGAUACAUACCACUGCUGAAGAGAUGAAUCAUACACUCAUGAAGCCAAGGAUGACUAGAAUCAAUAGCGAAGGCUCUUUUCACAGACUGAAGCAUCAGAAGGAACUUCUCUGGAAAACAAAGUGGUGGCAAACAUUCAAAAACCUGUGCCUGGAACUCGCUGCACUAUGCUGCAGGAGUAUUUAGUAUUUGAAACUAAAAUGAUCAGAAUAAAUUAAACAUGAGUGUACUGCCACAGC